Oreochromis niloticus (Nile tilapia) is the source of this 210-nucleotide long non-coding RNA. RefSeq lists it as uncharacterized. Lineage: Eukaryota; Metazoa; Chordata; Actinopteri; Cichliformes; Cichlidae. The record is from RefSeq and is a predicted model, not a curated record. The transcript is spliced from 3 exons.
AGAGAGUCAGCACAGAGCUGGAUGUCAGUUAAAGUAACUGUGUCAGGAGCUGACAGCUCUUCAUCUCCUGUGUGGUUGAUUGUUGGACUGGUUUGUGGAGUCUCUCUCAUUAUUAUUCUCCUGCUCUUGUUGUAUCGCUGCAGAAGAACCAACAGUGCUGCUAAUGAGCAGACGUUUAACCAACAUCAUCAGCAGCCAGUGUACUCCUCU